RNAcentral lists this small RNA (524 nucleotides) under uncultured Microcystis sp. Its description in RNAcentral is "bacterial LSU rRNA". The stretch from base 1 to 120 matches the Rfam family "Bacterial small subunit ribosomal RNA", at positions 1414 to 1533 of the family's 1533-position model. The record is from RNAcentral. Lineage: Bacteria; Bacillati; Cyanobacteriota; Cyanophyceae; Chroococcales; Microcystaceae.
GCCACGCCCGAAGUCGUUACCUCAACCGCAAGGAGGGGGAUGCCUAAGGCAGGGCUAGUGACUGGGGUGAAGUCGUAACAAGGUAGCCGUACCGGAAGGUGUGGCUGGAUCACCUCCUUAAAGGGAGACCUAAUUCCGGUAGGAGACGAAAAAAAAGUAGUCGCUACCAAGAAUCAAUCCCAAAAGGUCGGAGCGAGGCGAAAUUGGCUUUCAAACUAGGUUCUGGGUUCAACAAGACCUGAAUCAGGAACAAGGGCUAUUAGCUCAGGUGGUUAGAGCGCACCCCUGAUAAGGGUGAGGUCCCUGGUUCGAGUCCAGGAUGGCCCACCUGCACAGGUGGCAAAAACAAGAGAAGCGAGGAAUCAGCACCUUAUCUUACUUAUAUAGUAAGAGAGAAUGCUGGCUCUGAGUAAAGAGUCCAGAGGAACCUUGAAAACUGCAUAGAGCUAGGUGAAAAAGCCAAAAAAGAAGACCGCAAGGUCAAGCUAAUAAGGGCUAACGGUGGAUACCUAGGCACACAGAGG